CAGCUGGGCUUUGCCUGAACUCCCCCUGGAGAAAGAGGCCACUUCAGAAUCUUGAUGUACCUCAUGGUGGAGGCUGCUCCGGAAGAUAUUUAGCAAACCAAAGCAAUGUGCUCCAAACAGAGAUGGGGAAAAUAAGGACAGACAGGUGAAGUGCCUUGAACAAGAUCACAGAACCGAGUCUGUCUCGACCUGGGGUGGUAUUUGCUCUUGACUUCCACACUCUGCGGGCGCGCGGACAUUCGUCAGGUAUCCGUGGGGGUACUCAUGAGCGGUGUUCCUGAGAACGGACUGCAACAAAGCCCCUGCAGGCCAAGGUGACACAUUCUCGGAGCACUCUCCUCAUGGAACCUCACCCGUAACAAGCAAGUUUCAAAGCCAGGGCCAACGAUAAAUGACGGACUUCCCCCACGUUCUUAUAGAAAAUGAUUGGCCUGGACUGUAUCCUGCAUUUCCUUUCCAGACCCUUCUCUGAGGCCUUUACUUUCAUGAUACCAUGAAGGUAUUUUCCAAAGGGAGUUCUGUCUCUGAGGAAUUCUGGCAAACAAGAAAUACAGAUGAGGAAACCAAGGCUCUAAGAAGUCUUAAAAUUUGCCCCCAGUGAAGCAGGUAGUGACAGCUCACAACUCAUUCCCUACAGCUGCACUGUCCAAUACGGAAGCCAUUAGCCUUAUGUUGCUACUUAAAUUUAAACUGGACCUGGGGCGCCUAGGUGGCGCAGUCGGUUAAGCGUCCGACUUCAGCCAGGUCACGAUCUCGCGGUCCGUGAGUUCG
Long non-coding RNA from Felis catus (domestic cat), 771 nucleotides. RefSeq lists it as uncharacterized. The record is from RefSeq and is a predicted model, not a curated record. The transcript has 5 exons. Lineage: Eukaryota; Metazoa; Chordata; Mammalia; Carnivora; Felidae.